This 634-nucleotide ribosomal RNA is filed under the name uncultured bacterium. Its description in RNAcentral is "bacterial SSU rRNA". It matches the Rfam family "Bacterial small subunit ribosomal RNA", at positions 122 to 768 of the family's 1533-position model. The record is from RNAcentral.
UGAUCUGCCCCUGACUUUGGGAUAAGCGUGGGAAACUGGGUCUAAUACCGGAUAUGACCAUUUGGUGCAUGCGCUUCUGGUGGAAAGCCUUGUGCGGUUGGGGAUGGGCCCGCGGCCUAUCAGCUUGUUGGUGGGGUAAUGGCCUACCAAGGCGACGACGGGUAGCCGACCUGAGAGGGUGAUCGGCCACACUGGGACUGAGACACGGCCCAUACUCCUACGGGAGGCAGCAGUGGGGAAUAUUGCACAAUGGGCGCAAGCCUGAUGCAGCGACGCCGCGUGAGGGAUGACGGCCUUCGGGUUGUAAACCUCUUUCACCAGGGACGAAGCGCAAGUGACGGUACCUGGAGAAGAAGCACCGGCCAACUACGUGCCAGCAGCCGCGGUAAUACGUAGGGUGCGAGCGUUGUCCGGAAUUACUGGGCGUAAAGAGCUCGUACGCGGUUUGUCACGUCGUCUGUGAAAUUCUGCAGCUUAACUGCAGGCAUGCAAGCGAUACUGGCAGACUUGAGUACUACAGGGGAGACUGGAAUUCCUGGUGUAGCGGUGAAAUGCACACAUAUCACGAGGAACACCGGUGGCGAACGCGGGUCUCUGGGUAGUAACUGACGCUGACGAGCGAAAGCGUGGGUAG